AACGCACCUUGCGCCCUUUGGUAUUCCGAAGGGCAUGCCUGUUUGAGUGUCAUGAAAUCUCACCUAAGGGUUUCCUUAGUGUGGACGUGGUCGUUGCCUUUGGCUCGACUCAAAUGACUUCGCGGUGGACGCGUCGUAGGCGUAAUAAGUUUCGUCUACUAAGUGGUCGCUGCUCAUAACCCCAUCUUAUGCUCUGACCUCAAAUCAGGUAGGACUACCCGCUGAACUUAA
This 231-nucleotide unclassified non-coding RNA is filed under the name uncultured fungus. RNAcentral describes it as "partial contains 5.8S ribosomal RNA, internal transcribed spacer 2, and large subunit ribosomal RNA". The stretch from base 1 to 52 matches the Rfam family "5.8S ribosomal RNA", at positions 103 to 154 of the family's 154-position model. The record is from RNAcentral. Lineage: Eukaryota; Fungi.